RNAcentral lists this ribosomal RNA (468 nucleotides) under uncultured bacterium. RNAcentral's name for it is "partial 16S ribosomal RNA". It matches the Rfam family "Bacterial small subunit ribosomal RNA", at positions 28 to 507 of the family's 1533-position model. The record is from RNAcentral.
GACGAACGCUGGCGGCGUGCUUAACACAUGCAAGUCGAACGGAAAGGACCUGCUUUUGUGGGGUGCUCGAGUGGCGAACGGGUGAGUAACACGUGAGUAACCUGCCCUUGACUUUGGGAUAACUUCAGGAAACUGGGGCUAAUACCGGAUAGGAGCUCCUGCUGCAUGGUGGGGGUUGGAAAGUUUCGGCGGUUGGGGAUGGACUCGCGGCUUAUCAGUCUGUUGGUGGGGUAGUGGCUUACCAAGGCUUUGACGGGUACCCGGCCUGAGAGGGUGACCGGCCACAUUGGGACUGAGAUACGGCCCAGACUCCUGCGGGAGGCAGCAGUGGGGAAUAUUGCACAAUGGGCGGAAGCCUGAUGCAGCAACGCGGCGUGCGGGAUGACGGCCUUCGGGUUGUAAACCGCUUUCGCCUGUGACGAAGCGUGAGUGACGGUAAUGUGUAAAGAAGCACCGGCUAACUACGUG